AGACCCGAAACCCGGUGAUCUAGCCAUGGGCAGGUUGAAGGUUGGGUAACACUAACUGGAGGACCGAACCGACUAAUGUUGAAAAAUUAGCGGAUGACCUGUGGCUGGGGGUGAAAGGCCAAUCAAACCGGGAGAUAGCUGGUUCUCCCCGAAAGCUAUUUAGGUAGCGCCUCGUGAAUUCAUCUCCGGGGGUAGAGCACUGUUUCGGCUAGGGGGCCAUCCCGGCUUACCAACCCGAUGCAAACUGCGAAUACCGGAGAAUGUUAUCACGGGAGACACACGGCGGGUGCUAACGUCCGUCGUGAAGAGGGAAACAACCCAGACCGCCAGCUAAGGUCCCAAAGUCAUGGUUAAGUGGGAAACGAUGUGGGAAGGCCCAGACAGCCAGGAUGUUGGCUUAGAAGCAGCCAUCAUUUAAAGAAAGCGUAAUAGCUCACUGGUCGAGUCGGCCUGCGCGGAAGAUGUAACGGGGCUAAACCAUGCACCGAAGCUGCGGCAGCGACACUCAGGUGUUGUUGGGUAGGGGAGCGUUCU
RNAcentral lists this ribosomal RNA (534 nucleotides) under Salmonella enterica subsp. enterica serovar Infantis. RNAcentral's name for it is "partial 23S ribosomal RNA". It matches the Rfam family "Bacterial large subunit ribosomal RNA", at positions 711 to 1242 of the family's 2925-position model. The record is from RNAcentral. RNAcentral also lists the same sequence under 3 other names. Lineage: Bacteria; Pseudomonadati; Pseudomonadota; Gammaproteobacteria; Enterobacterales; Enterobacteriaceae.